Phyllostomus discolor (pale spear-nosed bat) is the source of this 106-nucleotide small nuclear RNA. The record is from RefSeq and is a predicted model, not a curated record. NCBI's taxonomy places the organism in Eukaryota, Metazoa, Chordata, Mammalia, Chiroptera, Phyllostomidae.
GCGCUUGCUUCAGCAGCACAUAUACUGAAAUUGAAUGAUACAGAAAUGAUUAGCAUGGCUCCUGAGCAAGGAUGACACACAAAUUCAUGAAGUGUUCCAUAUUUUU